Molecule: long non-coding RNA, 793 nt
Organism: Pseudophryne corroboree (corroboree frog)
Lineage: Eukaryota; Metazoa; Chordata; Amphibia; Anura; Myobatrachidae
Exons: 2
Source: RefSeq, a predicted model, not a curated record
AGGAGACCUGCAAAACAUGCACUGUGUGGGGUCCUGAGGACCGAGUUUGAGAACCUGUGACUUAGACAGUACUUGCACAAAGAGGACAGCGUGAAACAAUGGCUCAAUAUAGUAUCCUGUUACAGCUCUUUUACCAGACACGCCCAUGAUUUUAUGUGAACAGAGAGGCCAGACUUGACCAUCUAAGACAGAAGGGCUGACAUCAGAGUCUGUCCGCGUAAGAAAUCCCCUCCUCUGGUAUAGGGAAGUACUCUGCAGGAAUACCAAGUGCAGCAAAAAGUUUUAUCAGUAUGGAGGAAGUGGAUCAUAACCUUACCAGAGAAAAAUUUAGGAUCCGCAUUCAUUAGGAAUCACAUCCGUUAUUGAAAUUGAUAAUUAAUAGGGCAAAAUGCAAGCCAAGGGACUAAUGAAACGCAAAUGUCACCAUGGGAAACCUAUAGUUGUCACCCUAAAGAUGGCCGGCAGUUGGAACACAACCGGAAGUUGAUAACUGAAUACACAUCACUUCCGGCUGCCGAUCUCCGGAAGUUAGGUGGUAUGGAGAUCCGGAAUAGGAGUAUAAAUUCCGCACUAUGCAGAGACAUGCGAUCCAUUCCCGAGGAAGAAUUAUUCCGAAACGCGUUGCACAGACAUCAUGCCUGACCUUGGAUGACCCCAGCACGGAAAACCCAGAUCUGGUACUUUUGAACUUUGUGAGGAGUGUGCUGCAUACAUCCUAUGGUCUGUCAUUUAUUCAUGUUUAUGCUAUUUUAUGUGGAACCAUGUCAGUGAAAUACAUUUUGUAUGUGUAUUA